Molecule: ribosomal RNA, 465 nt
Filed under: Vreelandella stevensii
Lineage: Bacteria; Pseudomonadati; Pseudomonadota; Gammaproteobacteria; Oceanospirillales; Halomonadaceae
Description: partial 16S ribosomal RNA
Rfam family: Bacterial small subunit ribosomal RNA
Source: RNAcentral
CCUACGGGAGGCUGCAGUGGGGAAUAUUGGACAAUGGGCGAAAGCCUGAUCCAGCCAUGCCGCGUGUGUGAAGAAGGCCUUCGGGUUGUAAAGCACUUUCAGUGGGGAAGAAAGCCUUGGGGCUAAUACCCUCGAGGAAGGACAUCACCCACAGAAGAAGCACCGGCUAACUCCGUGCCAGCAGCCGCGGUAAUACGGAGGGUGCGAGCGUUAAUCGGAAUUACUGGGCGUAAAGCGCGCGUAGGCGGUCUGAUAAGCCGGUUGUGAAAGCCCCGGGCUCAACCUGGGAACGGCAUCCGGAACUGUCAGGCUAGAGUGCAGGAGAGGAAGGUAGAAUUCCCGGUGUAGCGGUGAAAGGCGUAGAGAUCGGGAGGAAUCCCAGUGGCGAAGGCGGCCUUCUGGACUGACACUGACGCUGAGGUGCGAAAGCGUGGGUAGCAAACAGGAUUAGAUACCCGGGUAGUC